UUAGCGGCGGACGGGUGAGUAACACGUGGAUAACCUACCUAUAAGACUGGGAUAACUUCGGGAAACCGGAGCUAAUACCGGAUAAUAUUUUGAACCGCAUGGUUCAAAAGUAAAAGACGGUCUUGCUGUCACUUAUAGAUGGAUCCGCGCUGCAUUAGCUAGUUGGUAAGGUAACGGCUUACCAAGGCAACGAUGCAUAGCCGACCUGAGAGGGUGAUCGGCCACACUGGAACUGAGACACGGUCCAG
RNAcentral lists this ribosomal RNA (248 nucleotides) under uncultured Staphylococcus sp. RNAcentral's name for it is "partial 16S ribosomal RNA". It matches the Rfam family "Bacterial small subunit ribosomal RNA", at positions 92 to 334 of the family's 1533-position model. Lineage: Bacteria; Bacillati; Bacillota; Bacilli; Caryophanales; Staphylococcaceae. The record is from RNAcentral.